ACCCUGAUCUAGCAUGCCGCGUGAGUGAUGAAGGCCCUAGGGUCGUAAAGCUCUUUCGCCAGGGAUGAUAAUGACAGUACCUGGUAAAGAAACCCCGGCUAACUCCGUGCCAGCAGCCGCGGUAAUACGGAGGGGGUUAGCGUUGUUCGGAAUUACUGGGCGUAAAGCGCGCGUAGGCGGAUCAGAAAGUUGGGGGUGAAAUCCCGGGGCUCAACCCCGGAACUGCCUCCAAAACUCCUGGUCUUGAGUUCGAGAGAGGUGAGUGGAAUUCCGAGUGUAGAGGUGAAAUUCGUAGAUAUUCGGAGGAACACCAGUGGCGAAGGCGGCUCACUGGCUCGAUACUGACGCUGAGGUGCGAAAGUGUGGGGAGCAAACAGGAUUAGAUACCCCGGUAGUCAA
Molecule: ribosomal RNA, 399 nt
Filed under: Antarctobacter albus
Lineage: Bacteria; Pseudomonadati; Pseudomonadota; Alphaproteobacteria; Rhodobacterales; Roseobacteraceae
Description: bacterial SSU rRNA
Rfam family: Bacterial small subunit ribosomal RNA
Source: RNAcentral